GAGCGGAUGACGGGAGCUUGCUCCUUGAUUCAGCGGCGGACGGGUGAGUAAUGCCUAGGAAUCUGCCUGGUAGUGGGGGACAACGUUUCGAAAGGAACGCUAAUACCGCAUACGUCCUACGGGAGAAAGCACGGGACCUUUGGGCCUUGCGCUAUCAGAUGAGCCUAGGUCGGAUUAGCUAGUUGGUGGGGUAAUGGCUCACCAAGGCGACGAUCCGUAACUGGUCUGAGAGGAUGAUCAGUCACACUGGAACUGAGACACGGUCCAGACUCCUACGGGAGGCAGCAGUGGGGAAUAUUGGACAAUGGGCGAAAGCCUGAUCCAGCCAUGCCGCGUGUGUGAAGAAGGUCUUCGGAUUGUAAAGCACUUUAAGUUGGGAGGAAGGGCAGUAAGUUAAUACCUUGCUGUUUUGACGUUACCGACAGAAUAAGCACCGGCUAACUCUGUG
This 448-nucleotide ribosomal RNA is filed under the name uncultured bacterium. RNAcentral describes it as "bacterial SSU rRNA". It matches the Rfam family "Bacterial small subunit ribosomal RNA", at positions 64 to 507 of the family's 1533-position model. The record is from RNAcentral.